GACGAAGGACCCGAGCGUUAUCCGGAUUCAUUGGGUUUAAAGGGUGCGUAGGUGGGUCUGUAAGUCAGUGGUGAAAUCUUCGAGCUUAACUCGGAAACUGCCAUUGAUACUAUAGGUCUUGAAUCAUCUGGAGGUGAGCGGAAUAUGUCAUGUAGCGGUGAAAUGCUUAGAUAUGACAUAGAACACCGAUUGCGAAGGCAGCUCACUACGGAUGUAUUGACACUGAGGCACGAAAGCGUGGGGAUCAAACAGG
This 253-nucleotide ribosomal RNA is filed under the name uncultured bacterium. Its description in RNAcentral is "partial 16S ribosomal RNA". It matches the Rfam family "Bacterial small subunit ribosomal RNA", at positions 524 to 776 of the family's 1533-position model. The record is from RNAcentral.